This 636-nucleotide long non-coding RNA is filed under the name Rattus norvegicus (Norway rat). RNAcentral's name for it is "long non-coding RNA NONRATT027205". The record is from RNAcentral. Lineage: Eukaryota; Metazoa; Chordata; Mammalia; Rodentia; Muridae.
UCCUCGCCCUUGUCCUUCACCCUCCCAGCCCGCUGCCAGCCUCCACCUCCAGUUUACAAAUUCCCUUCUCCUCUGGAGCUACCUGACACCCAGGACUGCCCCGCAGGUUCAGGAGAGGUCAGAGACAGUUGCCCCACGUGACAGAUGGGCAGAGGGCAAUCUGAAGAUUUCCUGGAGACCCCAUGUUUCUGUGAAAUAUACCGCUUCAGCCCCAUCCAGCCCAACUCUGGAAGUUGCCAGGGUGAGGGGAGGAUGCAGCCUCGUUUCCAUACCUUGGGGUUUGUUCAUCUCCUCUGACCCUGAUGCCAGAGAACUGACAUCCAGAGUUUAGGCCUGUAUCUGCCAGGCUCCUCCUUCUGCUUGAAACAGACCCUCGGGGGCCCCUGAUGCCACCGAGGCAAUUCGCACUGUCCCUGGGCUGCCAGGCACCUGCGCCUGCACUCGGUCAGCCGCAGACCUUGCCUUGGGGGAGAGAGGUGGUUAGUGGACCCAGGCAGGGCACUGGCUGUCCCAAUGCUGUGUGCUGGGGUGGAGGUGGCCGGGCACCACAUGUCCUUGAAGUGCCCUACUUCUGAUGGGCUGUGUUCCUGCCUCCUCUGGAGGGGGGCACUUAGCCCCAAUAAAAGCUGGAAUCAG